UUCAGAUGAUCCGAGGAAGUUGUGGAGACACUUUCUAUCAUCUUUCUAAUUUCAUGAUCCAAUAAGAGGGAAUCUGGAAAUGAGUACGGCCAACAUAAGGAAAGUGACAUCUUUUGGGCAACAAAUUUAUUAUAAAGAAACAAGUAUGAGAUCUGCAAAAGCCCUAAACAAAUGCUCAUAAUACCAAUGAAAGAUAAGUUUUACUGAACAUGAUUACAACUUACUCGAUAAAAUCAUCAGCCUCCAUGAUUGAUCUCUUACAAAGAUCAUGCAAAGAUGAUUGUGUAUGUGACCAGUAAGAUGCAGAGUGGGCACCUUUCUUCAAGCUGCAAUGGACAGUGCCUCUUCAUCAUAACAAUUAAUGGAAAUAAAAGCACUUCAAGAGUGAAUAGCUGAUUCAAUUGCUCUAUGUUUGAGGCUGGCAGAAGUAAGACUUCUUUUCAAUCCCUGAAAAUAAACAUCCGAUGGGUUGCUGCAUCAACUAAAUAUGUUCCAUACAGGCACAUGAACUAACAAGAUCAAGGAGACAUACAGCCUGUUGUAGCUCUGCAGAAAGGGCUAAAAGUUCCUUGAGCUCUGAAGUAGAUUUCAGAACAUCAUCCAGAAUUUAUUCAGCUUCCGAAAACAUCAUUGCUAGAAAUUGUUAUUGUUCAUAUAUAUAGAAAAUAACUAGAAAUGGUCGAGGCGUUGCCGCGUGGGGCCAAUGAAGUGGCCGUUUGAGUUAUGCGUUGUUUUUCAUAGUACAUUUCAGUUAGGAUAUGUACUAUCCUCUCUGCAGGUGAUGGUUUUGUCAUAUUCUUUCAGUGAAUGAGUUAUUUACU
Molecule: long non-coding RNA, 821 nt
Organism: Panicum virgatum (switchgrass)
Lineage: Eukaryota; Viridiplantae; Streptophyta; Magnoliopsida; Poales; Poaceae
Exons: 3
Source: RefSeq, a predicted model, not a curated record